RNAcentral lists this ribosomal RNA (497 nucleotides) under uncultured bacterium. RNAcentral's name for it is "partial 16S ribosomal RNA". It matches the Rfam family "Bacterial small subunit ribosomal RNA", at positions 28 to 507 of the family's 1533-position model. The record is from RNAcentral.
GAUGAACGCUGGCGGCGUGCCUAAUACAUGCAAGUCGAGCGAACGGACGAGAAGCUUGCUUCUCUGAUGUUAGCGGCGGACGGGUGAGUAACACGUGGAUAACCUACCUAUAAGACUGGGAUAACUUCGGGAAACCGGAGCUAAUACCGGAUAAUAUUUUGAACCGCAUGGUUCAAAAGUGAAAGACGGUCUUGCUGUCACUUAUAGAUGGAUCCGCGCUUCAUUAGCUAGUUGGUAAGGUAACGGCUUACCAAGGCAACGAUGCAUAGCCGACCUGAGAGGGUGAACGGCCACACUGGAACUGAGACACGGUCCAGACUCCUACGGGAGGCAGCAGUAGGGAAUCUUCCGCAAUGGGCGAAAGCCUGACGGAGCAACGCCGCGUGAGUGAUGAAGGUCUUCGGAUCGUAAAACUCUGUUAUUAGGGAAGAACAUAUGUGUAAGUAACUGUGCACAUCUUGACGGUACCUAAUCAGAAAGCCACGGCUAACUACGUG